AAUGGGCGAAAGCCUGACGCAGCAACGCCGCGUGGGUGAUGAAGGUCUUCGGAUCGUAAAACCCUGUCGUCGGGGACGAAGGUAGCUUAGUUAACAGCUGAGUUGCUUGACGGUACCCGGAGAGGAAGCCCCGGCUAACUCUGUGCCAGCAGCCGCGGUAAUACAGAGGGGGCAAGCGUUAUUCGGAAUUAUUGGGCGUAAAGGGCGCGUAGGCGGUUUUUUAAGUCAGAUGUGUAAUCCCCGAGCUCAACUUGGGAACUGCAUCUGAGACUGGAAGGCUAGAGUACUGGAGAGGGUGGUAGAAUUCCACGUGUAGCGGUGAAAUGCGUAGAGAUGUGGAGGAAUACCAGUGGCGAAGGCGGCCACCUGGACAGUAACUGACGCUGAGGCGCGAAAGUGUGGGUAGCAAA
This 410-nucleotide ribosomal RNA is filed under the name uncultured bacterium. RNAcentral's name for it is "bacterial SSU rRNA". It matches the Rfam family "Bacterial small subunit ribosomal RNA", at positions 370 to 772 of the family's 1533-position model. The record is from RNAcentral.